UUAUGCUUAACACAUUGAGUCAUAACUAUAUUUUAUUUGUACAUAUCAAACAUAGCAAAUUUACAAAACAGUGUCACAGUGUAACCAAGGCACGACAUGUGGAACAUUUGAAAUACUUGGAUAAAUCAGAUUGUUUUUGAAUAUUCUCACAAGCCCAGUGACACCACUUCAAGCAACUGUCACAGAGCACAUUUGGUGUGGUUUUAUUACUAAUCUUUUUACAGUCACCACAUUUGUAUCGCGAAUGUUUUUUCUUAAAAUCAACUGCUUCCUCUGUAAAUAAUUUCUGAAAUUUUGGAAGUUCCACUGCUAAAUCUUCUUCUGUUACUGUGCUGCUAACCAUUUCAGGCACAGGGCUGAUAUCAUGUCCCUCCACUAACUUCUUAGUAAGAAGAAUUUUAGCAGCUGCCUCACUUCCAAUAACCCAUGUGAAAAAAUUAUCUUUAUUUCGCAAUACUUUGUAUGCAGUGUAGGAUGUCUUUGGCAAAUGGAGUUCUCUUCAAAAAGUUA
Long non-coding RNA from Daphnia carinata, 510 nucleotides. RefSeq lists it as uncharacterized. The record is from RefSeq and is a predicted model, not a curated record. The transcript is spliced from 2 exons. NCBI's taxonomy places the organism in Eukaryota, Metazoa, Arthropoda, Branchiopoda, Diplostraca, Daphniidae.